This 277-nucleotide unclassified non-coding RNA is filed under the name uncultured fungus. RNAcentral describes it as "partial contains 5.8S ribosomal RNA, internal transcribed spacer 2, and large subunit ribosomal RNA". The record is from RNAcentral. Lineage: Eukaryota; Fungi.
AACGCACAUUGCGCCCGGCAGUAAUCUGCCGGGCAUGCCUGUCCGAGCGUCAUUUCAACCCUCGAGCCUAAGUUUUUGAAACUCAAGGAUCGGUGUUGGGGCGCUACAGCGGUCUUCGGAAAGCUGUAGGCUCUGAAAUACAGUGGCGGUCCCGCCGCGGCGCCUUCUGCGUAGUAAACUAUAAGCUCGCUCAAGGUCCCGGCGAAGGCCAGCCGUCAAACCCUCUAAAUUCUUAUGGUUUGACCUCGGAUCAGGUAGGGUUACCCGCUGAACUUAA